GAAAAAUUAGUUUAUAAAAAACAUAAACUUGUCAAGUUUAAAAAAUUAAAAAAUUAAUAUUUUUCU
Molecule: transfer RNA, 66 nt
Filed under: Perittopus sp. HL-2012
Lineage: Eukaryota; Metazoa; Arthropoda; Insecta; Hemiptera; Veliidae
Description: tRNA-Asp
Source: RNAcentral